Molecule: long non-coding RNA, 520 nt
Organism: Nicotiana tabacum (common tobacco)
Lineage: Eukaryota; Viridiplantae; Streptophyta; Magnoliopsida; Solanales; Solanaceae
Source: RefSeq, a predicted model, not a curated record
UGUUGGUUUUCUCGGGUUCUUAAUUUGUCCUCUCAAAUAAUAUUUUUUUUCAUUCUCUUCAUCUUCUCAGUUGGGUGUUGCAACUUUCAGAGAGUUGGUAUGAGGUAUACGAGUUUAGGGCAAAACUUUGAGUUAUUUGCCAGCGAUAAUGGUGGUCUUUUACCAUGUAUGUGCCUGCUCUUAAAGGUUGAAUCUCUCGGAACAAGCAUUAUGAUUGAUUAUAGAGAGAGCAUUGCUAGCCGAAUGAUGUGAUUUAUCCCUUGAUAGAGAAAUAUGCUCACAUCAGGUUAAACUACCCAGCAGAACUAAGAGCAAAAUUCACUUGCCAUGUUACAGAUGACUAAAGCCUCUCCUCCAACACUUAAAUUGGUAAUGGUAAUGAACUAUAUAUCUUGAUACCUCUUUUAAUUCAUUCGAUCUCUCAACAGACUGCUCCCUAUAUAUUUAUGUUUAUCUUUCUUGAAACAGCCAGUGUUGAGUGUGCCUAUAUUGUGUUUAGUUUUAUUUAUUUCAUUAUAAG